Molecule: long non-coding RNA, 1397 nt
Organism: Triticum aestivum (bread wheat)
Lineage: Eukaryota; Viridiplantae; Streptophyta; Magnoliopsida; Poales; Poaceae
Exons: 3
Source: RefSeq, a predicted model, not a curated record
UGGUUAUAUUUGUUUUACAUUAGUUUCGUGUAUAACAAUUAGCAUGGCUGGUCUAUUCAUGACCUCCAAUUGCUCUGAGUUUGUGGUCUUCGUGCUAUGACCUUGUCUAAUUAGGGUUAGCAACUUUCGUGAUCGAUUUGGUUCAUUUGGGUGCUGUUUACAACUGUAACUUCUAAAAAUCCCCAAUUUCAUGGGAUUACCAUUGCUAUUCUACAUUCUGUCAUGUGCUAUGGUAGGCAUAAUUGAUUGGACACUAUGAUUACUAAAGGGUUCGUUGGUUUUCUGUUUAGCAUGGAUUCUAUGCUCUUGUUCUAGUACUCACAGUAGUUCUCGGGCAUUAUUUAAUACUCCCUCCAUUUCACAAUUCUUGUCUUGGUUUUAGUUUAAAUAUGUGUUUUUCUUGAAGAACUGCAUUUGUUUGCCGGCCAUCGAACCAUACCUAUUUGUGUGCCUAUUUGUUUGCAUUGUUAAACAAGCAUUUUGGUUUGUUUCCAGUUGAUCUUCUUCACUGAUGUUGUUUCCUCACGCGGGUGCACAAGAGUUCGCCGUCCAUGGGCUGGUUUACAAGGGUGGCAAAUAUAACGCGCACCGGGAGAGGAGGAGGGGGGCUUCCUACGCUGUGUUUUGCAUUGCCUCCACCAACCCAUGCGCUUCUUCUUCCACUCCGGCGUGGUUGUGCAUGGCUGGUUCACAAGGACAGCAAGCACUGCCACCGUGAUGGAAGAUGCUCGAAGUGGCCGCUGCCACCAAAGACCAAUCCUACCUCCUCCAACGCUUCCUCCACAUGUGUUCUGCUUGCUGUACAGGUGCACAAGAGAUACGCCGUCCACAGGCUGGCUUACAAGGAUGACAAGCACAACGAGCACCGGGAGAGGAAGAGGGGGUUCCUAUGUUGUGUUUUGCAUCGCCUCCACCAACCCCCUGCGCUUCUUCUUCCACUCCGGCAUAGGUAAGCCCCUCUCCGCUCUGCUCUCUCAUGCGCGUGCUUGUGUGCAAUGCCACUGAACCGUGGUGAAUCUCAUGCUGGCCAUCGUGCCAUGGCAAAGUUCUCUGGUUUUUGGCUAUCGUGAUAUACAUGAGUCUCGUGCUGUGUGUGAUGCCUUUCUCUUGAUUGUUUGAUUCCUAGGGCUAGGUCAAUGCCCAUGACACUUGCAUCCAACCGCAAGGUCAGUUUUUCUGGUCUCCAGCAACCAAAAAAAUUGUGUUUUUCUCCCUUUGCAUUGAGCUCUCACACACUAGAUACCAUUCUGGAAUUAGGUUUUCUGAUAUGCAGUGUAUCUAUAUGCUAGCCUUCAUGUAAUGCUGGAAAUCAGGAAAACAACAUAAUCUUUGUCUUAAAUAAACUACUACACAAUAUAGGUUUACACUUGUCAUUUUGUAUGGCAAACACUACCUGU